Molecule: ribosomal RNA, 519 nt
Filed under: uncultured bacterium
Lineage: Bacteria
Description: partial 16S ribosomal RNA
Rfam family: Bacterial small subunit ribosomal RNA
Source: RNAcentral
GACGAACGCUGGCGGCGUGCCUAAUACAUGCAAGUCGAGCGAGUCUGCCUUGAAGAUCGGAGUGCUUGCACUCUGUGAAACAAGAUACAGGCUAGCGGCGGACGGGUUAGUAACACGUGGGUAACCUGCCCAAGAGAUCGGGAUAACACCUGGAAACAGAUGCUAAUACCGGAUAACAACAGAUGAUGCCUAUCAACUGUUUAAAAGAUGGUUCUGCUAUCACUCUUGGAUGGACCUGCGGUGCAUUAGCUAGUUGGUAGGGUAACGGCCUACCAAGGCGAUGAUCCAUAGCCGGGUUGAGAGCAUGAUCGGCCACAUUGGAACUGAGACACGGCCCAAACUCCUACGGGAGGCAGCAGUGGGGAAUCUUCCACAAUGGACGCAAGUCUGAUGGAGCAACGCCGCGUGAGUGAAGAAGGGUUUCGGCUCGUAAAGCUCUGUUGUUGGUGAAGAAGGACAGGGGUAGUAACUGACCUUUGUUUGACGGUAAUCAAUUAGAAAGUCACGGCUAACUACGUG